UACAGAGGGCCCGAGCGUUGAUCGGAAUCACUGGGCUUAAAGGGUUUGUAGGCGGAUUGACAAGUGCUUUGUGAAAUCCCACGGCUUAACCGUGGAAUUGCUUGGCAGACUGUCAGUCUUGAGCACGACAGGGGCCAUCAGAACGCUAGGUGGAGCGGUGAAAUGCGUAGAUAUCUAGCGGAAUGCCGAAGGUGAAGACAGAUGGCUGGGUCGUUGCUGACGCUCAGAAACGAAAGCAUGGGUAGCGAACGGG
This 253-nucleotide ribosomal RNA is filed under the name uncultured bacterium. RNAcentral describes it as "partial 16S ribosomal RNA". It matches the Rfam family "Bacterial small subunit ribosomal RNA", at positions 524 to 776 of the family's 1533-position model. The record is from RNAcentral.